RNAcentral lists this transfer RNA (69 nucleotides) under Chromis viridis (blue green damselfish). RNAcentral describes it as "tRNA-Phe". Lineage: Eukaryota; Metazoa; Chordata; Actinopteri; Pomacentridae. RNAcentral also lists the same sequence under 1 other name. The record is from RNAcentral.
GCUGGCGUAGCUUAACUAAAGCAUGACUCUGAAGAUGUCAAGACGGACCCUAGAGUGGUUCCGCAAGCA